CAGCCGCCGCGGUAAUACGAAGGGUGCAAGCGUUACUCGGAAUUACUGGGCGUAAAGCGUGCGUAGGUGGUUGUUUAAGUCUGCUGUGAAAGCCCUGGGCUCAACCUGAGAAUUGCAGUGGAUACUGGGCAACUAGAGUAAGGUAGAGGAUAGUGGAAUUUCCGGUGUAGCAGUGAAAUGCGUAGAGAUCGGAAGGAACAUCUGUGGCGAAGGCGACUAUCUGGGCCAUUACUGACACUGAGGCACGAAAGCGUGGGGAGCAAACAGGAUUAGAUACCCCUGUAGUCCCUGUCUCUUAUAC
This 301-nucleotide ribosomal RNA is filed under the name uncultured bacterium. RNAcentral's name for it is "partial 16S ribosomal RNA". It matches the Rfam family "Bacterial small subunit ribosomal RNA", at positions 509 to 807 of the family's 1533-position model. The record is from RNAcentral.